UACACCGCACUAAUACUGGAUUCGAAUGGCUGUUCUCGCGUCGUGCACGUCCUAGUCAUAGCCAGGCGGUUUGCACACGGCACGUGUCCGUCGGAACGUCAGUGCUGUUGACGACAACGUACGCGGCGGCAGAGGGAGAGUGGACAGCCGCCUUCCGCCAGCGGGGGUGUUACAACUAUACGCUUCGAGGCGGUUCGAGGCGGACGAACCUGUUCGAGUCUAACGGCGGAGAUUCCUCGCGACGGUCACCGGUGACCGACGCUCGCCCCGCUGACGGUCACCGGUGACCGGCGCUCGGUGGACACCGUGGAACACGCCGAACGUUUCCCAUUGAAUUUCUUUCCGUAUGUACCAGUCGGUAACGUAUUGUACCGGGUGUCUGUGGUAUCGAGGAUUUCAGAAUAAGGAGGAAUUGGUUAAUUGUAUUUCGAAUUAUCGGUGAUCAAAUCAAUGUCACAGUCAUGAUCGCUAAGAAAAUUACGCUUCAAGAGGUUCAAAACAGCCUUUCACGCGUGGACUGCCAAUGUUGAACUUUCAAAUUGCUUGGGAACAGUGACAAUAAGGAAAUUUAUGUCGAAUGAAGAUAUUUAUUAACAUAAACAACUGUAUAAUAGUAAGGAAUAAGAAUUAUUGUAGAAAACAGUCGAAAUUCUCGUGGCAGUCAACGCGUUGAUGAUUCUGAAUUCAAGAAGAGCCACUUGGAAGCCGUCGUCAUCAUCAAGUUUCAAAUGUCCGGAUAAAUUUACGGUGGUAUCUUAUAAAGCUAUCAAUUUCAGGAACCGCGGUUUAUUUUAACGCUGCUUUGUCCUGCAACAAAGAACAACAAGGUCUCGGGAUCAGAAAGCGUUUCUGUUAAAUUAGCCAGCAGUUUGUCAUCUAACAUUCCAAGGGAUCAACGAAAAUUCUGUCAUGUUUAUUCGAGCGAAAUGCGACGAUGCGUUUUAUAUUUACAUUUUUGAUGGGCCGUGUCGUUGAUGGAUGCUGCGCGUCGAAACGACGCGAUGGCGCGAUGUUUGAACUGUUCUUCUUUUUGAGAGCGGUGUAAGUCGAUUUUUGGGAGAAGUGAGUUAAUGAGAAUUUUAAUGAGAAUUAUGAUAGCAAUGAUGUAUAGUAUCUUCGUAAAAUAAUCGAAAUUUUAACUAAAAUUUUGUAACAGAAAUGUUUCUUUUAAGUGGUAUAAGUCGAUUUUUGGCAGAAGUGAGUUAAUGAGAAUUUUAAUGAGAAUUAUGAUAGCAAUGAUGUACAGUAUCUUCGUAAAAUAAUUAAAAUUUUAACUGGAGAAUUUUGUAACAAGAAUGUUUUUUUUUAAGUGGUGUAAGUCUAUUUUUGGACA
Nomia melanderi (Alkali bee) is the source of this 1333-nucleotide non-coding RNA. Lineage: Eukaryota; Metazoa; Arthropoda; Insecta; Hymenoptera; Halictidae. The record is from RefSeq and is a predicted model, not a curated record.